AUUGAACGCUGGCGGCGUGCUUGACACAUGCAAGUCGAUCGGUAACAGGUGUAGCAAUACAUGCUGACGAGAGGCGGACGGGUGAGGAAUAUUUGGGAAUCUGCCCAUCAGCGGGGGACAACCCGGGGAAACCCGGGCUAAUACCGCAUACGCUCUACGGAGGAAAGCCGGGGACCGCAAGGCCUGGCACUGAUGGAUGAGCCCAAAUCGGAUUAGCUAGUUGGCGGGGUAACGGCCCACCAAGGCGACGAUCCGUAGCCGGUCUGAGAGGACGGUCAGCGACAACGGAACUGAGACACGGUCCGGACUCCUACGGGAGGCAGCAGUGGGGAAUAUUGGACAAUGGGGGAAACCCUGAUCCAGCGACGCCGCGUGGGUGAAGAAGGCCUGCGGGUUGUAAAGCCCUUUCGGUAGGGACGAAAGCUCUUGCUCUAAUAAUGCAAGAGGUUGACUUAACCUACAUAAGAAGCACCGGCUAACUCUGUGCCAGCCGCCGCAGUAA
RNAcentral lists this ribosomal RNA (502 nucleotides) under uncultured bacterium. RNAcentral's name for it is "partial 16S ribosomal RNA". It matches the Rfam family "Bacterial small subunit ribosomal RNA", at positions 29 to 523 of the family's 1533-position model. The record is from RNAcentral.